This 468-nucleotide ribosomal RNA is filed under the name uncultured bacterium. Its description in RNAcentral is "partial 16S ribosomal RNA". It matches the Rfam family "Bacterial small subunit ribosomal RNA", at positions 28 to 507 of the family's 1533-position model. The record is from RNAcentral.
GACGAACGCUGGCGGCGUGCUUAAUACAUGCAAGUCGAACGGAAAGGCCCUGCUUUUGUGGGGUGCUCGAUUGGCGAACGGGUGAGUAACACGUGAGUAACCUGCCCUUGUCUUUGGGAUAACUUUAGGAAACUGGGGCUAAUACCCGAUAGGAUCUCUUGCUCCGUGGUGUGGGUUGGAAAGUUUCGGCGGUUGGGGAUGGUCUCGCGGCUUAUGAGCUUGUUGGUGGGGUAGUUGCUUACCAGGGGUUUGAAGGGUAGCCCGCCUGGGAGGGGGGACGGCGACAUGACGACUGCGAGACGCCGCAGAAGCGAACGGGAGGCAGUAGGGGGAAGUAUGGCACAGUGAGCGGGAGCCUGAGACGAAGACGCCGGGUGCGGAAAGACGUGUUACAGGUGAAAAACCGCUUUGGCAUGUGACGAAGCGUGAGUGACAGUAAUAGGUAAAGAAGCACCGGCUAACUACGUG